RNAcentral lists this ribosomal RNA (400 nucleotides) under uncultured bacterium. Its description in RNAcentral is "bacterial SSU rRNA". It matches the Rfam family "Bacterial small subunit ribosomal RNA", at positions 356 to 773 of the family's 1533-position model. The record is from RNAcentral.
GGGGGAUAUUGCACAAUGGAGGGAACUCUGAUGCAGCAACGCCGCGUGAGGGAAGACGGUCUUCGGAUUGUAAACCUUUGUCCCUGGUGACGAUAAUGACGGUAGCCAGGGAGGAAGCUCCGGCUAACUACGUGCCAGCAGCCGCGGUAAUACGUAGGGAGCGAGCGUCGUCCGGAUUUACUGGGUGUAAAGGGUGCGUAGGCGGCUGAGCAAGUCAGGUGUGAAAACCAUCGGCUUAACUGAUGGACUGCAUUUGAAACUGCUUUGCUUGAGUGGAGCAGAGGCAGGCGGAAUUCCCGGUGUAGCGGUGAAAUGCGUAGAGAUCGGGAGGAACACCAGUGGCGAAGGCGGCCUGCUGGGCUUUAACUGACGCUGAGGCACGAAAGCAUGGGUAGCAAAC